GGAGCACUCAUCUAUACUGUCUUUCUACACACUUUUUUACCUUACUUUAUCCCUCAGGAUUCUGGCAUCGAGUCCCUCCCUAUCAGUCUUUAAAAACUGUAGCCUUAAAUCGGUAGGGAUUUAGAAGACAUGAACAAUAUUCUCAUCCAUCUUGACCUAAUUGCCAUUUAUAGAACGUUCUAUCCCAAGACUUCAGAAUAUAUAUUCUUUUUAAACAUUUAAUGAAAGGAUUUAACUCCUAAACUCCAAAGCAAGAUAUUCUAAGAAGACUCAUUAAAAAAAUUAAUCUUAAAAAACAGAUUUUAAAAUUGUACAGGAGAAAUGCAUAUAUGAGUACAGAAUUAUGGGGCAUUCUGAAUACUAAUUUAAGAAAGAAAUAUAAACCCCUUUUAAAACUCAUAUAAUUUUCCAAUUUCCCUCAAAGAAGAUACUAAUAUUUUUGAUAUGACAUAGGAGUAAAAAUUGAGGGGAGGUCCUAAUAUCCAAUAUUAAUAGAGCUGUGAUUAUUCAAGCUUUAGACUUAAAUUUUUUAAAUAGAGUAAUGGUUGUUUAGUAGAGAUUAAUAUCUAAAUAAGGAAAAUGAAGAAAGGGACCAAAAAUCAAGUAAAUAGGAUAAUUGAGUUUUAAUGGGGAAGAAUUUGUAUAUCAUGAUUUUACUACCCUGAAUACCAAAGUCAGUGAUGUCUCCAAAAGGCAAAGGGAAGUGUACCAUUUUUUUUGAGCACUAUAAAAAGUGAAAGGUCAUCUGCCAGAUCUAACAUGGUAUACUCUAAUGGAAAAAUCAAGAUUCUCUUCCUUCUUAUGAUUCUAUGGUAACUGUUGAGUCGAGAAAAUAAAUCAUAAUUUGUGAUUUCAAACAUUUAAUAUGUGCACAUGUAUAACAUACUCAUCCUUUAUAUUUAUCAUGUUUUUUUGAAUAAUUUUUCCACCUUAUUGAAUAUGAAGUAUAUCUCCAUGUUCUUAUAGCUGUUUUUCUUGGUUGCUUUCGAAUUCCUUUCCUCCCUUAUUGGUUACCUAUGAAUUGUUUAGUUCUAACAACGAUUUGUAAAUUUUAAUAUUAUAGAUGUAUUGCUGUUAAUUAUUACAUCUAAAAAUAAAUUAUUUUACAGAGGCUACU
RNAcentral lists this long non-coding RNA (1117 nucleotides) under Macaca fascicularis (crab-eating macaque). RNAcentral's name for it is "lncRNA (ENSMFAG00000056356.1)". Lineage: Eukaryota; Metazoa; Chordata; Mammalia; Primates; Cercopithecidae. The record is from RNAcentral.